UACGUAGGGUGCGAGCGUUGUCCGGAAUUAUUGGGCGUAAAGAGCUUGUAGGCGGUUUGUCGCGUCUGCCGUGAAAUUUCGGGGCUCAACCCCGAACUUGCGGUGGGUACGGGCAGACUAGAGUGUGGUAGGGGAGACUGGAAUUCCUGGUGUAGCGGUGAAAUGCGCAGAUAUCAGGAGGAACACCGAUGGCGAAGGCAGGUCUCUGGGCCACUACUGACGCUGAGAAGCGAAAGCGUGGGGAGCGAACAGG
RNAcentral lists this ribosomal RNA (253 nucleotides) under uncultured bacterium. Its description in RNAcentral is "partial 16S ribosomal RNA". It matches the Rfam family "Bacterial small subunit ribosomal RNA", at positions 524 to 776 of the family's 1533-position model. The record is from RNAcentral.